This 72-nucleotide transfer RNA is filed under the name Camelus bactrianus (Bactrian camel). It matches the Rfam family "tRNA". Rfam says of the family: Transfer RNA (tRNA) molecules are approximately 80 nucleotides in length. The record is from Rfam by way of RNAcentral. RNAcentral also lists the same sequence under 1 other name. Lineage: Eukaryota; Metazoa; Chordata; Mammalia; Artiodactyla; Camelidae.
GAGAGUACAGUUCAGUGGUAGAGUGUGUGCUUAGCAUGCACGAGUUCAUGGGUUCAAUCCCCAGUACUUCCA